UGCUUAACACAUGCAAGUCGCACGAGAACGCUUCAGCUUGCUGAAGUUAGUAAAGUGGCGUACGGGUGAGUAACGCGUGGGUAAUCUACCCCCGAAUUGGGGAUAACCCGCCGAAAGGCGUGCUAAUACCGAAUGAUAUCUUGAAAAUUUCGGUUUUCGAGAUCAAAGGUGACCUCUACAUGUAAGUUACCGUUUGGGGAUGAGCCCGCGUACCAUUAGCUUGUUGGUAGGGUAACGGCCUACCAAGGCGACGAUGGUUAGCUGGUCUGAGAGGAUGAUCAGCCACACUGGAACUGACACACGGUCCAGACUCCUACGGGAGGCAGCAGUGAGGAAUUUUGCGCAAUGGGGGAAACCCUGACGCAGCAACGCCGCGUGAGUGAUGAAGGCUUUCGGGUCGUAAAGCUCUGUCAAGUGGGAAGAACCCACAUGGUGCCAAUACCACCAUGUGCUGACGGUACCACUGAAGGAAGCACCGGCUAACUCCGUGCCAGCAGCCGCGGUAACACGGGGGGUGCAAGCGUUAUUCGGAAUUACUGGGCGUAAAGAGCGCGUAGGCGGUCUCUUAAGUCAGGUGUGAAAGCCCGGGGCUCAACCCCGGAAGUGCACUUGAAACUAAGGGACUUGAGUAUGGGAGAGGGAAGUGGAAUUCCUGGUGUAGCGGUGAAAUGCGUAGAUAUCAGGAGGAACACCGGUGGCGAAGGCGACUUCCUGGACCAAUACUGACGCUGAGGCGCGAAGGCGUGGGGAGCAAACAGGAUUAGA
Molecule: ribosomal RNA, 765 nt
Filed under: uncultured bacterium
Lineage: Bacteria
Description: bacterial SSU rRNA
Rfam family: Bacterial small subunit ribosomal RNA
Source: RNAcentral